GUGGGGAAUCUUGCGCAAUGGGCGAAAGCCUGACGCAGCCAUGCCGCGUGAAUGAUGAAGGUCUUAGGAUUGUAAAAUUCUUUCACCGGGGACGAUAAUGACGGUACCCGGAGAAGAAGCUCCGGCUAACUUCGUGCCAGCAGCCGCGGUAAUACGAAGGGGGCUAGCGUUGCUCGGAAUUACUGGGCGUAAAGGGCGCGUAGGCGGACAGCUUAGUCAGAGGUGAAAGCCCAGGGCUCAACCUUGGAAUUGCCUUUGAUACUGGCUGUCUUGAGUUUGGGAGAGGUGAGUGGAACUCCGAGUGUAGAGGUGAAAUUCGUAGAUAUUCGGAAGAACACCAGUGGCGAAGGCGACUCACUGGCCCAAUACUGACGCUGAGGCGCGAAAGCAUGGGGAGCAAACAGGAUUAGAUACCCGGGUAGUCC
RNAcentral lists this ribosomal RNA (425 nucleotides) under uncultured bacterium. RNAcentral's name for it is "partial 16S ribosomal RNA". It matches the Rfam family "Bacterial small subunit ribosomal RNA", at positions 354 to 796 of the family's 1533-position model. The record is from RNAcentral.